This 406-nucleotide ribosomal RNA is filed under the name uncultured bacterium. Its description in RNAcentral is "partial 16S ribosomal RNA". It matches the Rfam family "Bacterial small subunit ribosomal RNA", at positions 30 to 526 of the family's 1533-position model. The record is from RNAcentral.
AUUGAACGCUGGCGGCAGGCCUAACACAUGCAAGUCGAACGAGUGGCGGACGGGUGAGUAAUGUCUGGGAAACUGCCUGAUGGAGGGGGAUAACUACUGGAAACGGUAGCUAAUACCGCAUACCAUCAGAUGUGCCCAGAUGGGAUUGGCUUGUUGGGGGGGUAACGGCUCACCAGGGCGACGAACCCUAGCUGGUCUGAGAGGAUGACCAGACACACUGGAACUGAGACACGGUCCAGAAUCCUACGGGAGGCAGAAGUGGGGAAUAUUGCACAAUGGGCGCAAGCCUGAUGCAGCCAUGCCGCGGGUAUGAAGAAGGCCUUCGGGUUGGAAAGUACUUUCAGCGGGGGGGCGUUACCCGCAUAAGAAGAACCGGCUAACUCCGUGCCAGCCGCCGCGGUAAUAC